GGCCGCAGUAUUCUAACUGUGCAAAGGUAGCAUAAUCAUUAGUCUUUUAAUUGAAGGCUGGUAUGAACGGUUGGACGAAGUAUAAGCUGUUUCAUAUAAAUUUUUAUUAGAAUUUUAUAUUUUAGUCAAAAAGCUAAAAUUUUAUUAAAAGACGAGAAGACCCUAUAAAUCUUUAUAUUUAUUUUUAUUUAAGUUUUUUGGAAUAUAUUUUAUUUUUUUAAAAGUAAUUAUUUUGUUGGGGUGAUGUUAAAAUUUGAUGAACUUUUAAUUUUGAGUUACAUUAAUUUAUGAUUUAUUGAUCCAUUAAUAAUGAUUAUAAAAUUAAGUUACUUUAGGGAUAACAGCG
Molecule: ribosomal RNA, 346 nt
Filed under: Euphranta sp. 17-10-24-35-D
Lineage: Eukaryota; Metazoa; Arthropoda; Insecta; Diptera; Tephritidae
Description: partial 16S ribosomal RNA
Source: RNAcentral